RNA transcript from Cornus florida, 2673 nucleotides. RefSeq lists it as uncharacterized. The record is from RefSeq and is a predicted model, not a curated record. The transcript is spliced from 3 exons. NCBI's taxonomy places the organism in Eukaryota, Viridiplantae, Streptophyta, Magnoliopsida, Cornales, Cornaceae.
CUUUACCAAUUUAUUCGGGUCGGUCUGCUUUCGUCAUAUCCUCAAAACCCGGAUUGUGCCAAGGGCUCCAUGAAUCCAUGAAUCACCUCACUUUUAUUUUUCGAUAACUUGCCAUAUACAUCAACACAAGAUUUACACUCACUGGAUUCAAAAGAAUCGAAUUUGGACACAAAAUCUGGAAAAGAGUUUGUGGGGUUGAUUCAUUUUGAGGUAAUUUCUUAGUUUGUUAAUGGGUUUUCUUAGUUUACUGGAUUUGGGUAUUGUGAGUUGGAAUCAAUCUGUUCAGGUUCGUCUUGAUAUUCGUAAUCUAAUCCCCUUGGUAUUGUCUUCAAUGAGAAAUCUGCAUUGAUAUCAUAUAUAUGCUGUUGUUUAUUUCUCUAAAUUUAUUAUUUGGAAUGAACUGUAAUGAGUUGUUACUUCAUAUAGUUCAUAACCUUAGUUUGUAUUCUUCUAACAGCAACUUCAUGACAAGACUCAAACUGGGUUUUGAUUUUUAUAUGAUGUUGAAUACAUGAAUUAUCUUCAAAGGGUUGUUGAUUUGUAGAGCUGGACGAAGCAUUGUUGGAUUAUAUUGACCUUUGAUGGGAAUUUUUUACAUGGGUUCAAUUUUGAGGUUGUUUGUGUAACAAUGGAGAGAAAAUCAUCAGCUAGUAAGAACUUGAAGCCGAGCGGUUCAUAUGGUUUCUUAGACUUGCAACGAUCGAUGCAAGUUGAUCACCAACAAGAUGCACUGCCAUACCGGAGUUUCGUGACCCAUCCCCAACAAUUUCAAGAUGAUUUCCCGGUAAGGGUUUGGAAUAUGCAACAACCUGAGCAACUGGAACCAUCUGCGAGGGGCAUUGAUGGAUCGAAUACGGUGGAAGAAAGUGUUGAUGUGAACAAUGAAGGUGAUAGAGAGAAAAAGGAGUCCCCCUGGCAGCGCGUAAAGUGGACAGAUGAAAUGGUGAAACUUUUAAUUACUGCUGUUUCUUACAUAGGAGAGGAUGUUUCCUUUGAUUGUAAUGGUGUCAGAAGAAAGAGGUCCUCGUUAAAGAAAGGGAAGUGGAGGUGUAUUUCGAAGGUCAUGGCUGAGAGGAGUUAUAAUGUAUCGCCUCAGCAGUGUGAAGAUAAAUUUAAUGAUCUGAACAAAAGGUAUAAGAGACUGAAUGAUAUACUAGGGAGGGGCACUUCUUGCAAGGUGGUUGAGGAGCCAGCACUUUUAGACUUGCUAGACUUAUCUGACAAAGCAAAGGAGGCUGUAAAGAAGAUUUUAAGCUCAAAACAAUUAUUUUAUGAAGAAUUGUGCUCCUAUCACAAUGGGAAUCGGUUGUACCUUCCUCAUGAUCGAACUCUUCAAUGGUCCUUGCAGUUGGCUCUUAGAAGUAAAGAAGACGAUGAUCCUCAGGAGUCAAGGCUGCACAAAUCUGAGGCCAUUGAUGAAGAUGAUCACGUUGUAGAAUCUGUUGUUCGAGAUGAUGAAACUGAGGAAUAUGCUUCACUUAAGGGUAAUGGGGAAGCAUUUGUGGGUUUUGACAAUGCCUUGAACUUUUUGGAUUGUAAAAAAAAAUCAGAUCCUCAUUCUUCAAAUAAUUGUGCCAAUGUGAGCCAAAAUUUCACUGAAGGCAGGCAUGUAGAACGGAUUCAGAGUGAAUCAAUUAUGUCUCGGUCACUUCAGUUGGAGGAGCAGAAACUGCACAUUCAGGCCCAGAUGCUGGAGUUGGAGAAGCAGCGGUUCAGGUGGUUUAGGUGUAGCGAGCAAGAAGACAGGGAGCUGGAGGAGAUGAGGCUAGAAAACAAGUAUAUGAAGCUUGAGAAUGAGCGUUUGGCAUUAGAAAUUAAACGCAGAGAAUUGGGUGCUAAUUAAAUUCAAUGACCAUUGUGCGGGAGCCUAGGCAUUUUUAUUUCAGGUCAGGGUCUAUGGACUGGUAGAGAGAAUAAAAAAAGAACCCAAUAUGAGAAAUUCUACUAGAAUUGGCGAAAGCUUCAUGCUUCUUUGAUGGGUAUGAUGUUGAAACCCAUUGAAGCGAAGAUGUGGCGCUGUUGCCGUCUGAUGUUUAGUUGGAGACUCUAGUGGUUGCUUGACUGGGGAUCCUUACAGAGGAGCUAAAACCUCUUAGUGCUUCCACAAUUGAAGUUGGAGGUCAGAACUUGUACUGACGGGCACAGAGAUUUCAUGUCGAUAAAGAACUGGACAAACUAUUUGAAAUUUAAGCCUAAAGAGAAGGCAAGUGAGGGUAUUGUGAGUUCAACUGCAAUCAAAUCAAGUCAAAGUCUCAAGACUGCUGGGUGGAGGAGAAAAAAAACAAAGAAUCCAAUAUUAGAAAUUGUACUAGAACUGGCGAAAGCUGCAUGUUUCUUUGAUGGGUAUUAUGUUGAAAACCGUUGAAGCAAAGAUGUGGCGUUGUCGUCUUCUGAUGUUUAGUUGGAGCCUUUUAGUGGUUGCUUGACUGGGAAUCUUUAAAUCCAAAGAGAAGGCAGGUUAUGGUAUGUGAGUUCAACUAGAAUCAAAUCAAGUUAGUUCCUUUUCUGUUGUAUGCGUUUAGUUAUUUUCUUAAAUGUCAUGUAUUUUGAGUCCAGCUACAAUCAAAUCAAGUUGGUCCCUCUUUCUGUUGUAUGCUUUUAAUUGUUGUCUUAAAUGUCAUGUAUUGUGAGUUCAGCUACAAUCAAAUUAAACUAUGUUCCUUUUCUGUUGUA